AGUGGCUGGUGAGCCUCAGUCAACAGCCCCCUCCAGCCUCGCAGCCACCGCACAGGCCUGCUUUGCACUUGGAUUGUCCCGACCGUGUUCCUGGAACUUGGGGGUAGCAAAAGAGAUAUGCAAACAAACCGGAAUGGAAUGGCACUCGCUCAACCUCUGGGGAAAUCCGCACUCCAUAAAUGACCAAGAUGGGCCAUCUAGCGCCACCUGCCAGGUGAUCGC
This 222-nucleotide long non-coding RNA is filed under the name Felis catus (domestic cat). Its description in RNAcentral is "lncRNA (ENSFCAG00000043289.2)". Lineage: Eukaryota; Metazoa; Chordata; Mammalia; Carnivora; Felidae. The record is from RNAcentral.